UACGAAGGGUGCUAGCGUUGUUCGGAAUCACUGGGCGUAAAGCGCGCGUAGGCGGCCGAUCAAGUCAGGGGUGAAAUCCUUGGGCUUAACCCAAGAAUUGCCUUUGAAACUGUUCGGCUGGAGUAUUGGAGGGGAGUGCGGAAUUUCUAAUGUAGCGGUGAAAUGCGUAGAUAUUAGAAGGAACACCGGUGGCGAAGGCGGCACUCUGGACAAUUACUGACGCUGAGGCGCGAAAGCGUGGGGAUCAAACAGG
This 253-nucleotide ribosomal RNA is filed under the name uncultured bacterium. RNAcentral describes it as "partial 16S ribosomal RNA". It matches the Rfam family "Bacterial small subunit ribosomal RNA", at positions 524 to 776 of the family's 1533-position model. The record is from RNAcentral.